UGGUCAUUCCAACAUAUUGGAGGCCACAAGGGCAUUCAAGCAGAUAAAUAACAUUUUUCGUAGUACAGUUUAUAAAAUCAUUAAUUUUGUAAACCUUAUUUGUUACUUUAAAGGUAAAUUCAAUUGUUUUGGAUGGUACUGUAGGAUCGGUGGUUUUACAGACUAUACACGAUUUGCAUUUACAGAAACUUUUAAUUUGAGGGAAUAAGGAUAGAGCCGGUUUGAUUUGUGUUUCUCUAGUGAGAUUUUUAGUUAAGAUUAAUUUAAAAUUAGGAGCUCCUCUAAAUACUACAUUGGGAUGUUCCGGUAAAAUUUUGUUAAGGGUUUCGUCCUGUUUUAAAAUAUGCCAAUGUUUCUUUAUUAUCUUUUUU
Non-coding RNA from Pelobates cultripes (western spadefoot toad), 371 nucleotides. Lineage: Eukaryota; Metazoa; Chordata; Amphibia; Anura; Pelobatidae. The record is from the annotation of a GenBank genome assembly.